AAUAUCAGUUUUUUGGUCCUUCAAGAUUUUAAGGAAGAGAGGCUAAAAUGGUGUGGUGAAAGGAAGGUAUGUAAAUCAGACACUAUGGGUCUUGUUUUAGUUAUUAAGGCAAUGGUCUUGUUUUAGUAACUAAUCUUACUCCUAAUACACAUGAUUAUAUGGUGGAUAUUUUAACUUUUGAGCGGAAUAAGUUAGAGUCCAAAUUAGCAAUUGUCCAAAGAGUUCUCAAUGGAGAAAUAAACAUCAGUCCCGAUCUUGAUGUGGUCUUGGAAAAGAAUGGUUUUUAAAAAUAUGGCAAGACAGUGAACUCAUCAAGAAGCUAUGACUACGUCCCAGAGGAUCUUAUCUCGAUGAUUAGAGAUCCUUCAAAAUAGAUGCAUUAAAGGCAUAAUUAGAUUACGUGAAUAAAAGACUGGGUACUAUCAACUCUGAAAGCCAGAAGCACUCUGGAUCAAUAAGCUAGAUGAUUUUGAUAAAGCACUUGAGGUAUGAAUGAAUUAGUUUUAUGAUUCUCCACAACAAAUUAUGUGUCUGUUAUUUGAACUGAACUUUCUUAAUAUUGCAAGGACUCUGGUCAAGACUCUCAAGUUAAUGGCGAUUAUAAUAUUUAGUGCAUAGAUGGCACAAAUAUAAUUUCCAUUCUUAUCUAUAAAUGAUUAUGGUAUAACUGUCUACCAAAGGUUCCAAAAUUAGUAUUUAACAAAAAAAAUAUUUCA
Molecule: small RNA, 716 nt
Filed under: Arabidopsis thaliana (thale cress)
Lineage: Eukaryota; Viridiplantae; Streptophyta; Magnoliopsida; Brassicales; Brassicaceae
Description: ATSL210090
Source: RNAcentral